GCUUGUUUCCUUUUACAUAGGUUGUGCUGGUGUAUGAGCAGUUCACAUUCUUGGACCCAAAUGAGGGAAACCUACUCUGGCUUUCGUGAGUCUGUUCCAGAAUGUUGAACUUUCUUGAAUUCAAAGUAGAUCGUGGCUUUGAUCUUCGAUGUGAUUAAAGUAAUGAAUGACAAACGUUAUCUCCAAAGAAUACUGAAUAUAGAAGCUAAAUGUGAUUUUUCCCCAUCAAAGAGCUAUUCCUAAAGCUGUAUAUUUAAGGUUUUUCUGCCAAUCGGUUGAAAACAUACUGGACUUACACUCAGGGAACGAACUACCAUGUCCUACCGUGCCACUCUGGAGCUGAAGAAACAUUUCUGAGCAGGUCAUGGAGCUCGUCUAUCACGUGUGCUACUUUCCCCCUCUGCUUGCCUGUACACACCGCACAGGAAAGUGAUCACGACUCUUGUCACAGGCUGCAGAUUUUCUGGACCACACUAUCAUAAUGCAUUGUCAGAGGAAUACUGCUUGUAUUCCCCCACCUGUAAUGCUGAGGGCAGCUACACUGUCUCCACACACAAGCUUUUUAUAAAGCUAGAGUUUUCCAUUUUGCGAUUAGGCUCUCAAGGCCCCACUUCUCAAACCCAUAGAUAGGAAAUCACAGGACAGAGCUCAAAGACCCCACUGUUCCCAGUAAGGCUCCAUGGCACGUACUAAGACGUCCUCUUCUCUGUCUCUGCUAUUGUGCUUGCAGUGUCAGAAGCAAACUAC
Long non-coding RNA from Talpa occidentalis (Iberian mole), 747 nucleotides. RefSeq lists it as uncharacterized. The transcript has 3 exons. The record is from RefSeq and is a predicted model, not a curated record. NCBI's taxonomy places the organism in Eukaryota, Metazoa, Chordata, Mammalia, Eulipotyphla, Talpidae.